AAAACGGCCCUUUUCAGGGCCACCACAUUCAAAUUGUGCUCUACAU
Molecule: non-coding RNA, 46 nt
Organism: Macrostomum lignano
Lineage: Eukaryota; Metazoa; Platyhelminthes; Macrostomidae
Source: Rfam